RNAcentral lists this ribosomal RNA (471 nucleotides) under uncultured organism. Its description in RNAcentral is "partial 16S ribosomal RNA". It matches the Rfam family "Bacterial small subunit ribosomal RNA", at positions 334 to 797 of the family's 1533-position model. The record is from RNAcentral.
CACUCCUACGGGAGGCAGCAGUGGGGAAUUUUGGACAAUGGGCGAAAGCCUGAUCCAGCAAUGCCGCGUGAGUGAAGAAGGCCUUCGGGUUGUAAAGCUCUUUUGUCAGGGAAGAAACGGUGAGAGCUAAUAUCUUUUGCUAAUGACGGUACCUGAAGAAUAAGCACCGGCUAACUACGUGCCAGCAGCCGCGGUAAUACGUAGGGUGCAAGCGUUAAUCGGAAUUACUGGGCGUAAAGCGUGCGCAGGCGGUUUUGUAAGUCUGAUGUGAAAUCCCCGGGCUCAACCUGGGAAUUGCAUUGGAGACUGCAAGGCUAGAAUCUGGCAGAGGGGGGUAGAAUUCCACGUGUAGCAGUGAAAUGCGUAGAUAUGUGGAGGAACACCGAUGGCGAAGGCAGCCCCCUGGGUCAAGAUUGACGCUCAUGCACGAAAGCGUGGGGAGCAAACAGGAUUAGAAACCCCUGUAGUCCC